This is a long non-coding RNA of Passer domesticus (house sparrow), 1716 nucleotides long. RefSeq lists it as uncharacterized. The record is from RefSeq and is a predicted model, not a curated record. NCBI's taxonomy places the organism in Eukaryota, Metazoa, Chordata, Aves, Passeriformes, Passeridae. The transcript is spliced from 3 exons.
CCUCCUGGCAGCUGCUGGCAGAAAAAUAAAACCAUGGAGAAGGCGCUUGGAGUCCUUUUUAAAUUUUUUUUUCUUGUGGCUUGGUUCUGCUGCCUGCAUUGGAGGGACAAUGACAUCCCCCUAGGACCAAGGGCUCAUGCUGAGAGGGGCUGAGCUUCUUUGAGGCUUGAAAAAGGCUGAAGUGGUUCAAAACCCCUUUUCAUCUUUGUUUUUCUUCUCCUCACUGAGCUGCUCAUGCUCGGCCCCCCCAGGUGUGCAGUGUUAUAAAUAAGGUAGGUGAGGGUGGGCUGGGAGAGCUGAGCUGCAGAGGCAGCUGGGGUGGGCUGGGGAAAGCCUCCCCUGCCCCAGGACAUGCUGAGCAUCUGCAGCGCUUGGGUGGUAGGAAAUCUCUACUUCCCUUUAUCUGCCUGGAGAAAGGAAGUCACAGGAGACACAAGUGGGCAAGGUGUGGAGGAAGGGACCACUUUGUGCUCUGUGGCCACAGCGACCCAUGGCAGAAACCCUGGGCUGGACUGACAGUGGCAAAGAAGUGGGGUAGAGAGCUGGUAACACUUCUGCUGCUCCAGAGGGGCUCAGUGCCUACCCAAGCACACGUCACCCACAUGGGACAGCAGAGUGGCAUCCCAGGGUGGCACAGGCACCUGAGAGAGCAGAGCUCUGCAGUCCUCCUCAGGAGCAGGAGGGAAGCUGACAACUCACUCAGCCACCUGAGUCCCACCACAAUUUCUGUUUCUGGACCUUCGCCCCAAAGCCCACCUGUGGUGGAAUGAAGAUGGAUGUGAGCUCCAGAUCAGAGCAGGUGAGGAGGGAGCAGGGUACCUUAAUGAGUCAGGGCAGUGACAGCCAGUGCCUGGCACCCAGGGCUUUAGUUUGCCUUUCUCCUGAGAUCUUAUCACCUGCCAGCAGGAAUGUGUGAAAUGAGCCAAACAAAGCACAUGUGGAAAUAGUGUCUCGAGUGAGGAAUGGAAACUUUGGGGGCAAUGGACUGGGAGAGAAAUGAAAUGAAAAGGGGGGUUUGUGCCUCUCCACCUGAGCUUUGUGGUGUGCUUUCCUCCCAUGCCCAGUCUGUGUGUGAGUGCACUCAGGAUGAUAUCAGAGGGAUGAUAUAUUUGCGAACUUGCUGGCUUGUUCCCAGGUUUGCUGCAGAUCUCGAUGUGAGCUGGACCAGAGGGGCUGGUUGGGAGGAGCACCACCCUGCAGAAAGCCUGUGCUCCCUCCUUCCCCACUGCCAGCCCAUCGUGAGGGGCAUCACCCCCCUGUGCCCAGCCAUGUGGACCACAAACCAGCCUGGCACCAGACAAAAACCACCUGGCUCUCCUCCCCUGCACCUGCUCCCCGAGGUGGGGGCAGAGGGACGGUCACUGAACGUCAAUUCUGCUGGCUCCGUGAAAGGGCUGAGAGCUGUCUGGAGGAAAUAUCCCCUGAAACUGAUGCCAAGCCUGGCUGGAGGGCUGCUCCGCCUGUCUCUGUCUCUGCAGGGAAGCUCCAGCACAGGAUUCAGCUUACACCUGUCCCGUUGCUGAGGAAGAAGAGGACUCCAGAGAUGGGCAGGGCAGGGCUGGGAGCCCGGCAGGCACAGCCUCAGGCUCUGGCUGUGCUGGUGUAAUCUGUGCUGCAGAAUGACCUUGGGCUGAAAACAAUUCCACGCUCGGGCCUCGCACGCUGUUGUUAUCAAGGUCAACCAAAACAGCCCUGGCAGCACGUUUAACUGGGGGA